GUUGGCUGUAGCCACCGUACAGUGGGGCCCCCGUCAUGGGUUGCGGUCCUGCUUGGUGCGGGGCAUAAGGUUGUGGAUCGUGAGCCUGUGGAGGAUGUACGCAGCCUGUUGUGGUUGCUGGGAGACCAGCGCAUAAGGAAAAGGGAGGGGGGAUCUGGAUAAGCGCCAUAUUGGAGGUGGCACUUCCACGCUGUUACCCUGGUUCGAGCUACAAGGCUCAGAGAGAACUUAUUGGACUACCUAAGUGUUACGCUUCAUGUGGAGAUGCAAGGACUAUGGAACGCAGUGCUCUGAGACAGAAGUCUUCAACCAUAGACUUAACUACAUCUGUGGGAUGAUUUUGAUCCAUGGCUCACUGGGAGGACUGCCAGAGUUCAAUGAAAUCAUUCAAAUGGUGAUACUGCAAGACAAGUUGAUCUUUGUUGUGAAGAAGCUCAGUGGAUGGUAUAUUGAACACUGUAGAGCUUAUGAUCGCCAGGCAAGGAAGUGGGAACUUAUUGGACCAGAAGAACUACAUGAUGCUUACCCCCUGGCCGACUACAAAAUUGGGAGGAUGCGUCUUGUCACAUUGAAAAGAUAUAUCCAUGUUUAGUAUGGAGGACUAAAAGUGCCACAAUUAAAUAAAUAAACACAC
Molecule: long non-coding RNA, 634 nt
Organism: Gasterosteus aculeatus aculeatus (three-spined stickleback)
Lineage: Eukaryota; Metazoa; Chordata; Actinopteri; Perciformes; Gasterosteidae
Source: Ensembl